This 500-nucleotide ribosomal RNA is filed under the name uncultured bacterium. RNAcentral's name for it is "partial 16S ribosomal RNA". It matches the Rfam family "Bacterial small subunit ribosomal RNA", at positions 28 to 523 of the family's 1533-position model. The record is from RNAcentral.
GAUGAACGCUGGCGGCAUGCCUUACACAUGCAAGUCGAACGGCAGCACGGGAGCAAUCCUGGUGGCGAGUGGCGAACGGGUGAGUAAUAUAUCGGAACGUGCCCAGUCGUGGGGGAUAACGCGGCGAAAGCUGUGCUAAUACCGCAUACGAUCUAAGGAUGAAAGCGGGGGAUCGCAAGACCUCGCGCGAUUGGAGCGGCCGAUAUCAGAUUAGCUAGUUGGUGGGGUAAAGGCCCACCAAGGCGACGAUCUGUAGCUGGUCUGAGAGGACGACCAGCCACACUGGAACUGAGACACGGUCCAGACUCCUACGGGAGGCAGCAGUGGGGAAUUUUGGACAAUGGGCGCAAGCCUGAUCCAGCAAUGCCGCGUGCAGGAUGAAGGCCUUCGGGUUGUAAACUGCUUUUGUACGGAACGAAACGGCCCUUUCUAAUACAGGGGGCUAAUGACGGUACCGUAAGAAUAAGCACCGGCUAACUACGUGCCAGCCGCCGCCGUAA